AUUCCUUAGAAGUAUUUGAUACUGAAAAAUUUGCAGCACCACAUACAAAUACUUCAUGUUGCACAUCGACUGCUUCAGAUGGAAGGAGUGUGACCCAGACUCUCUCAGAUAUUGGUAGAGUAGAGGAAUUCCCAAAACUGAGAAACUUGCAUAAGAUCAAGCUGUAGAUGAAAACGUGCUGCAAAGUCUUUUAUUCUAUUUCAUAUAUGAAUACAACAAAAUAGUGGUAUACAAUAAUGAUUAUUUUAAGACUUAUGGAUUGUUAUUACAUUAUUUUCUUUCAAAAUUGCAAUGAUUGCACCAGUCUGUUGAUACCCCUCAUCAAAGAAACUAUGUGUAUUUCCUUUAUUUUCAAAUUUGAUAGUAUCUGUCCAUUGUCAUGUUGUCACACUUUCAGAAUCCUAUUGUUUCGUUUAUAUAUUCUAUUUUCCAGAUCUAUAUGUACUAAAAAUGAUUGAAAAUUUUUAUCUUGUAAUAGUGUGGUACUCACCACAUUUUCAAUUGUGCAAUAUGGUUGAAAACAAAAUAAUACUUGAUUCAAAUUCAGCAAUGAAUUCAGUAAUCUAAUAAAAGAAUUAUGCUUUCUAAUUAAUCCCUCUUAUUAUAAAUGUUGCAUAUAGUAAAUGUUGAGCUACAGGAUUAUUGUGAUAUGUUUUUAUAAAGAAAUUUUUGUCAGUAUUAAGUUUUCAAUCAUUUAAUAACAACAUUCAAUCAUUUAAAUUUUAAGUAUAAUUUUGAUAAAGACGCAUUAACUAUUUUGAGAAUUGUCUGAGUCUUAGUUAAUUUUGUGAGCUCCUUAUUGACCUAUUAAUUUAUGUCAUUGUACUGUAAUGUUUUUCUGGAUGGAGUUGUAUAAUAAUAAUUAAGAAUUGUUCUUAUAAGAUUUUGUUCAUUUUUUCUAUAGGAAUAUUUCUUCUAUUCCUGUUCGACUACAAAAGCAAAUUUUAAUGAAUUAUUGCAAUUAAUUUCUGAAUAAAAUGUAGAAAACAAAAUUCAAGGCUAUAUCACAUAUUAUUUUCUACUGAAAUACUAGCUAUCAACAUGAUCGAAUCUGUAUUUUUGGAAUUAUUGAAAAAAUAAAUUUUUCCUCACAUCA
Molecule: long non-coding RNA, 1096 nt
Organism: Coccinella septempunctata (seven-spotted ladybird)
Lineage: Eukaryota; Metazoa; Arthropoda; Insecta; Coleoptera; Coccinellidae
Exons: 2
Source: RefSeq, a predicted model, not a curated record